UCUCCGUUGGUGAACCAGCGGAGGGAUCAUUAAAAAGCGAGUCUCGCGACUCUCAAACCCUUUGUGAACUUAUUCAGUUGAGCUGCUUCGGCAGGUCGCCCCCUGUGGGUGGCCUGCCGGCCGGCUCGCCAACCAAACUCUUUGUUAUCUUAAGGACCUCUGAGUUAAAAACAAAAUCUAUUAAAACUUUCAACAACGGAUCUCUUGGUUCUGGCAUCGAUGAAGAACGCAGC
Molecule: unclassified non-coding RNA, 233 nt
Filed under: uncultured fungus
Lineage: Eukaryota; Fungi
Description: sequence contains ITS1, 5.8S rRNA gene
Rfam family: 5.8S ribosomal RNA (bases 185-233)
Source: RNAcentral